UACGUAGGGUCCGAGCGUUGUCCGGAAUUACUGGGCGUAAAGAGCUCGUAGGUGGUUUGUCGCGUUGUCCGUGAAAACUCACAGCUCAACUGUGGGCGUGCGGGCGAUACGGGCAGACUGGAGUACUGCAGGGGAGACUGGAAUUCCUGGUGUAGCGGUGGAAUGCGCAGAUAUCAGGAGGAACACCGGUGGCGAAGGCGGGUCUCUGGGCCUGUUCUGACGCUGAGGCGCGAAAGCUAGGGGAGCGAACAGG
RNAcentral lists this ribosomal RNA (253 nucleotides) under uncultured bacterium. Its description in RNAcentral is "partial 16S ribosomal RNA". It matches the Rfam family "Bacterial small subunit ribosomal RNA", at positions 524 to 776 of the family's 1533-position model. The record is from RNAcentral.